UGGCGGCGUGCCUAAUACAUGCAAGUCGAGCGCGGGAAGCGGACAAUCACCGUUCGGGGUGUGCGUCCGUGGAACGAGCGGCGGAUGGGUGAGUAUCACGUGGGCAACCUGCCUGUAAGAUUGGGAUAACUCGCGGAAACGUGAGCUAAUACCGAAUGAAGUCUUUCACCGCCUGGUGAAAGGAUGAAAGAUGGCUCUUGAGCUAUCACUUACAGAUGGGCCCGCGGCGCAUUAGCUAGUUGGCGGGGUAAAGGCCUACCAAGGCGACGAUGCGUAGCCGACCUGAGAGGGUGAUCGGCCACACUGGGACUGAGACACGGCCCAGACUCCUACGGGAGGCAGCAGUAGGGAAUCUUCCGCAAUGGACGAAAGUCUGACGGAGCAACGCCGCGUGAAGUGAUGAAGGUCUUCGGAUCGUAAAACUCUGUUGUCAGGGAAGAACAAGUUGUGUUCUAACAGGACAUGACCUUGACGGUACCUGACCAGAAACGCCCCGGCUAACUACGUGCCAGCCGCCGC
RNAcentral lists this ribosomal RNA (519 nucleotides) under uncultured bacterium. RNAcentral describes it as "bacterial SSU rRNA". It matches the Rfam family "Bacterial small subunit ribosomal RNA", at positions 37 to 518 of the family's 1533-position model. The record is from RNAcentral.